RNAcentral lists this ribosomal RNA (653 nucleotides) under Araneae sp. NZAC 03009253. RNAcentral describes it as "eukaryotic LSU rRNA". The stretch from base 449 to 653 matches the Rfam family "Eukaryotic large subunit ribosomal RNA", at positions 665 to 842 of the family's 3401-position model. The record is from RNAcentral. Lineage: Eukaryota; Metazoa; Arthropoda; Arachnida; Araneae.
CAGUCUGGAGUGGCGGAAGUGCAGACCGGAAGACCAGAAGGGCGUCCCUGAACGGGGGCCGUCCGGUCGCACUGAGCACCGCCGCACCAGACGCAUUUGUCUCCCGCCCGAAGGACGCCGCAGCCGGUUGGGUAGUGCAAGCGCGACGGCCUGAGGGGCGGAAGAUGGCAGGUGGCCGGUGGAGCGUCUCUGUGCGCGUCGCCGGUUGUUAGCCGUUCCGUCAGUGGCACGUCACCCGACCGAGGUGUCGCGAGGCCCUACGGGGCCUCACCGUCUCUCCUCCAUGGAAGUCGGGACAGAGCGCCGCAGGUGGCUAUCGCCGUCCCGUUCGCACCCCUACGGGGUGGUCGGGCGAGCGUGCGCUUCCGAUCGCGGUGCCGGACCCGUCGGAGGCCGGGGGCUGGCGGCGAGUAGGUCGGUCACCCACCCGACCCGUCUUGAAACACGGACCAAGGAGUCCAACAUGUGCGCGAGUCAAUGGGUCUUGAAUAGGCCCAGGGGCGCAAUGAAAGCGAAGGUCGGCGGACGCCGACCGAGUUGGGAUCCCCGGCUUCGGCCGGGGCGCACCAACGACCCGUCCUAUCCGGCUCGCCGGUUGGGCGGAGUGUGAGCGUACACGUUGGGACCCGAAAGAUGGUGAACUAUGCCCGGAC